Molecule: ribosomal RNA, 256 nt
Filed under: uncultured bacterium
Lineage: Bacteria
Description: partial 16S ribosomal RNA
Rfam family: Archaeal small subunit ribosomal RNA
Source: RNAcentral
UAAUACCAGCACCCCGAGUGGUCGGGACGUUUAUUGGGCCUAAAGCAUCCGUAGCCGGUUCUACAAGUCUUCCGUUAAAUCCACCUGCUUAACAGAUGGGCUGCGGAAGAUACUAUAGAGCUAGGAGGCGGGAGAGGCAAGCGGUACUCGAUGGGUAGGGGUAAAAUCCGUUGAUCCAUUGAAGACCACCAGUGGCGAAGGCGGCUUGCCAGAACGCGCUCGACGGUGAGGGAUGAAAGCUGGGGGAGCAAACCGG